RNAcentral lists this ribosomal RNA (252 nucleotides) under uncultured prokaryote. RNAcentral's name for it is "partial 16S ribosomal RNA". It matches the Rfam family "Bacterial small subunit ribosomal RNA", at positions 523 to 774 of the family's 1533-position model. The record is from RNAcentral.
AUACAGAGGGGGCAAGCGUUGUUCGGAAUUACUGGGCGUAAAGGGCGCGUAGGCGGCCCGCUAAGUCGAACGUGAAAUCCCCAGGCUCAACCUGGGAACUGCGUCCGAUACUGGCAGGCUUGAAUCCGGGAGAGGGAUGCGGAAUUCCAGGUGUAGCGGUGAAAUGCGUAGAUAUCUGGAGGAACACCGGUGGCGAAGGCGGCAUCCUGGACCGGUAUUGACGCUGAGGCGCGAAAGCUAGGGGAGCAAACG